CAUUUCUUCUCCUGAUGAAAUGUUGAAAGAUGGUUUACGCUAUCGCUAUAGGAUGGGCCCGCGGCGCAUUAGCUAGUUGGUGAGGUAAUGGCUCACCAAGGCGACGAUGCGUAGCCGACCUGAGAGGGUGAUCGGCCACACUGGGACUGAGACACGGCCCAGACUCAUACGGGAGGCAGCAGUAGGGAAUCUUCCACAAUGGACGAAAGUCUGAUGGAGCAACGCCGCGUGAGUGAAGAAGGUUUUCGGAUCGUAAAACUCUGUUGUAAGGGAAGAACAAGUGCAGUAGUAACUGGCUGCACCUUGACGGUACCUUAUUAGAAAGCCACGGCUAACUACGUGCCAGCAGCCGCGGUAAUACGUAGGUGGCAAGCGUUGUCCGGAUUUAUUGGGCGUAAAGCGCGCGCAGGCGGUCCUUUAAGUCUGAUGUGAAAGCCCACGGCUCAACCGUGGAGGGUCAUUGGAAACUGGAGGACUUGAGUGCAGAAGAGGAAAGUGGAAUUCCAAGUGUAGCGGUGAAAUGCGUAGAGAUUUGGAGGAACACCAGUGGCGAAGGCGACUUUCUGGUCUGUAACUGACGCUGAGGCGCGAAAGCGUGGGGAGCAAACAGGAUUAGAUACCCUGGUAGUCCAC
RNAcentral lists this ribosomal RNA (633 nucleotides) under Lysinibacillus sp. KSUM_27. RNAcentral's name for it is "bacterial SSU rRNA". It matches the Rfam family "Bacterial small subunit ribosomal RNA", at positions 179 to 798 of the family's 1533-position model. Lineage: Bacteria; Bacillati; Bacillota; Bacilli; Caryophanales; Bacillaceae. The record is from RNAcentral.